Molecule: ribosomal RNA, 935 nt
Filed under: uncultured bacterium
Lineage: Bacteria
Description: bacterial SSU rRNA
Rfam family: Bacterial small subunit ribosomal RNA
Source: RNAcentral
AGGUCGGGGCGGCAGCUUACACAUGCAGUCGAGCGGAACGAUACCAGCUUGCUGGUAGGCGUCGAGCGGCGGACGGGUGAGUAAUACUUAGGAAUCUACCUAGUAGAGGGGGAUAGCUCGGGGAAACUCGAAUUAAUACCGCAUACGACCUACGGGAGAAAGGGGGCAGUUUACUGCUCUCGCUAAUAGAUGAGCCUAAGUCGGACUAGCUAGAUGGUGGGGUAAAGGCCUACCAUGGCGACGAUCUGUAGCUGGUCUGAGAGGAUGAUCAGCCACACCGGGACCGAGACACGGCCCGGACUCCUACGGGAGGCAGCAGUGGGGAAUAUUGGACAAUGGGGGAAACCCUGAUCCAGCCAUGCCGCGUGUGUGAAGAAGGCCUUUUGGUUGUAAAGCACUUUAAGCAGUGAAGAAGACUCCUCGGUUAAUACCCGUGGACGAUGACAUUAGCUGCAGAAUAAGCACCGGCUAACUCUGUGCCAGCAGCCGCGGUAAUACAGAGGGUGCAAGCGUUAAUCGGAAUUACUGGGCGUAAAGCGAGCGUAGGUGGCUUGAUAAGUCAGAUGUGAAAUCCCCGGGCUUAACCUGGGAACUGCAUCUGAAACUGUUAGGCUAGAGUAGGUGAGAGGAAGGUAGAAUUCCAGGUGUAGCGGUGAAAUGCGUAGAGAUCUGGAGGAAUACCGAUGGCGAAGGCAGCCUUCUGGCAUCAUACUGUCACUGAGGCUCGAAAGCGUGGGUAGCAAACAGGAUUAGAUACCCUGCUAGUCCACGCCGUAAACGAUGUCUACUAGUCGUUGGGUCCCUUGAGGACUUAGUGACGCAGCUAACGCAAUAAGUAGACCGCCUGGGGAGUACGGCCGCAAGGUUAAAACUCAAAUGAAUUGACGGGGGCCCGCACAAGCGGUGGAGCAUGUGGUUUAAUUCGAUGCAACGCG